AGUGGCGCACGGGUGCGUAACGCGUGGGAACCUGCCUUUAGGUUCGGAAUAACAGUUAGAAAUGACUGCUAAUACCGGAUAAUGUCUUCGGACCAAAGAUUUAUCGCCUUUAGAUGGGCCCGCGUAGGAUUAGAUAGUUGGUGGGGUAAUGGCCUACCAAGUCGACGAUCCUUAGCUGGUCUGAGAGGAUGAUCAGCCACACUGGGACUGAGACACGGCCCAGACUCCUACGGGAGGCAGCAGUGGGGAAUAUUGGACAAUGGGCGAAAGCCUGAUCCAGCAAUGCCGCGUGAGUGAUGAAGGCCUUAGGGUUGUAAAGCUCUUUUACCAGGGAUGAUAAUGACGGUACCUGGAGAAUAAGCUCCGGCUAACUCCGUGCCAGCAGCCGCGGUAAUACGGAGGGAGCUAGCGUUGUUCGGAAUUACUGGGCGUAAAGCGCACGUAGGCGGCUUUCCAAGUCAGGGGUGAAAUCCCGGGGCUCAACCCCGGAACUGCCCUUGAAACUGGAUGGCUAGAAUACUGGAGAGGUGAGUGGAAUUCCGAGUGUAGAGGUGAAAUUCGUAGAUAUUCGGAAGAACACCAGUGGCGAAAGCGACUCACUGGACAGUUAUUGACGCUGAGUGCGAAAGCGUGGGGAGCAAACAGGAUUAGAUACCCUGUAGUCCACGCCGA
RNAcentral lists this ribosomal RNA (672 nucleotides) under uncultured bacterium. Its description in RNAcentral is "bacterial SSU rRNA". It matches the Rfam family "Bacterial small subunit ribosomal RNA", at positions 94 to 803 of the family's 1533-position model. The record is from RNAcentral.